Molecule: ribosomal RNA, 254 nt
Filed under: uncultured bacterium
Lineage: Bacteria
Description: partial 16S ribosomal RNA
Rfam family: Bacterial small subunit ribosomal RNA
Source: RNAcentral
CACGUAGGCACCAAGCGUUGUCCGGAUUUAUUGGGCGUAAAGAGCUCGUAGGCGGUUCGGUAAGUCGGGUGUGAAAACUUUGGGCUCAACCCAAAGCCUGCACUCGAUACUGCUGUGACUUGAGUCCGGUAGGGGAGUGGGGAAUUCCUGGUGUAGCGGUGGAAUGCGCAGAUAUCAGGAGGAACACCGGUGGCGAAGGCGCCACUCUGGGCCGGUACUGACGCUGAGGAGCGAAAGCGUGGGGAGCAAACGGG